Molecule: ribosomal RNA, 465 nt
Filed under: uncultured bacterium
Lineage: Bacteria
Description: partial 16S ribosomal RNA
Rfam family: Bacterial small subunit ribosomal RNA
Source: RNAcentral
GACGAACGCUGGCGGCGUGCUUAACACAUGCAAGUCGAACGGAAAGGCCCUGCUUGCAGGGUACUCGAGUGGCGAACGGGUGAGUAACACGUGGGUGAUCUGCCCUGCACUUCGGGAUAAGCUUGGGAAACUGGGUCUAAUACCGGAUAGGAACCAUCUUUAGUGUGGUGGUUGGAAAGUUUUUUCGGUGUAGGAUGAGCUCGCGGCCUAUCAGCUUGUUGGUGGGGUAAUGGCCUACCAAGGCGGCGACGGGUAGCCGGCCUGAGAGGGUGUACGGCCACAUUGGGACUGAGAUACGGCCCAGACUCCUACGGGAGGCAGCAGUGGGGAAUAUUGCACAAUGGGCGCAAGCCUGAUGCAGCGACGCCGCGUGGGGGAUGAAGGCCUUCGGGUUGUAAACUCCUUUCGCUAGGGACGAAGCUUUUUUGUGACGGUACCUAGAUAAGAAGCACCGGCUAACUACGU